AGUGAACGCUGGCGGUAGGCCUAACACAUGCAAGUCGAACGGCAGCACAGUAAGAGCUUGCUCUUACGGGUGGCGAGUGGCGGACGGGUGAGGAAUACAUCGGAAUCUACUUUUUCGUGGGGGAUAACGUAGGGAAACUUACGCUAAUACCGCAUACGACCUACGGGUGAAAGCAGGGGAUCUUCGGACCUUGCGCGAUUGAAUGAGCCGAUGUCGGAUUAGCUAGUUGGCGGGGUAAAGGCCCACCAAGGCGACGAUCCGUAGCUGGUCUGAGAGGAUGGUGAGCCACACUGGAACUGAGAGACGGUCCAGACUCCUACGGGAGGCAGCAGUGGGGAAGAUUGGACAAUGGGCGCAAGCCUGAUCCAGCCAUACCGCGUGGGUGAAGAAGGCCUUCGGGUUGUAAAGCCCUUUUGUUGGGAAAGAAAAGCAGCAGGUUAAUACCCCGCUGUUCUGACGGUACCCAAAGAAUAAGCACCGGCUAACUUCGU
RNAcentral lists this ribosomal RNA (491 nucleotides) under uncultured bacterium. RNAcentral's name for it is "partial 16S ribosomal RNA". It matches the Rfam family "Bacterial small subunit ribosomal RNA", at positions 29 to 506 of the family's 1533-position model. The record is from RNAcentral.